This 659-nucleotide long non-coding RNA is filed under the name Phasianus colchicus (ring-necked pheasant). Its description in RNAcentral is "lncRNA (ENSPCLG00000002652.1)". The record is from RNAcentral. Lineage: Eukaryota; Metazoa; Chordata; Aves; Galliformes; Phasianidae.
GGCAGAACUACAAAUAUUCCCAAAAGCACUUUAAGGGUAUACUGAUACACAAAACAGGCUGCAUUAGAAGUGGUGGAGUAGUGAUCUCCCUUGCUGUGGAAUCCAGUGUUUCAACAGUCAGAAGACAUUUGAAGCAGGAGGAGGUAUGGUCACAUAUCUGCGCUGUGGGAGCUGUGCCCUCUGCUGCCUGCUUGGGCACAGUGAAGAAACAGGAGUCAGAAAUGUGUGUACCUGUAUACCUUUGACUUGAAACAUGGGACAAUUCACUGACAUCUUUUAAAAUAGUUGUUUUCAGAGGCUGAGGUUUUUGUCUGAAAACAACUUCUGACAUGAGAAUGUUUGGAAAAGUGCUACUGAAAGUGUUCAUUUAUAUUUUACUGCAAGCUGUACUGGCAAAUUGAGAAUGUUUUUUUUGUUUGUUUGUUUGUUUCUGGUCUCUUAAGAGACUAAGCUAUAUUCCAUGCAAUGAAAAAUCAGAAAAUUUGAGAAGUAUUUUUUCUUCUGUCAGUGACAAAGCAUACGAUUCAUGCUUUCUUCAGAAAGAAGGAGUAGAGAAGAGCUGACCCUUCUACCAAAACAGCAGUGGGAAAACAAAUGACUUAUACUUCCUGAAAGCUGCUUCUUUUUAUUAUUAUUAAACAUUUUUCAUUAAAUACUGC